RNAcentral lists this long non-coding RNA (1352 nucleotides) under Neogale vison (American mink). RNAcentral's name for it is "Neovison vison (American mink) lncRNA (ENSNVIG00000003062.1)". Lineage: Eukaryota; Metazoa; Chordata; Mammalia; Carnivora; Mustelidae. The record is from RNAcentral.
AAGUCAUCCAGCAAUGAGGGAAUCCUGUCUCCAUUUAUGGACCAAAAUCAAGAGCAAUUUUGUUUGCAUCUGACACGGAUCCCAACAAGAGGCUUGUCAGGUCACUUCACCAAGGCCGGAAUUCCUGGAGGGUCCAGGUCCUCAAAAGUUAGGCCAACAAGCAACAUUUUUAUUUUGUUCUCUAUCUUUGAAGUAUUAAGUUUUAACCACAUUUUUCAGGAUAUUUUUCAAGGUGGCUGGUUCCAUUUAAAAAGCAUCUUUUUUAUGGGUCCGUAAUUUUAUAAUUCAAUUUUUAGAAAUUGCUGAAAUCAAAUUAGACAAUUUCUGCAUCUUAACUUCAUAUACUUCUUAUUUGUAAUCAACAAAAAGGACUGUGCGUUAUAAAACAGAACAGUCAUUCUUAUUUAUGCCUGCAACUAUUUUUAUGAUAUUUUAUAUGGAUGAAUGUCAUGAGACUCUAGUCAAUCUCUGUGAUGAACCCAAAUAAAAACAUCUCACCAUUGACACAUAGCCAUUCAUUGUAGCUGUGCGCUGAGCUGGGAAGGAGGCAGUUCCCUGUCCUCUGGGUCUCCGAGAUGGAAUGCCACAACAUACCACUAGGGCCAUAAAGCUUUCAUAUGUGUGCUGCCAAAUCUUAGCCAGUGGGCCAAACUGAAGAAAUACAAUAAAUAACAAAAGCUAAUGCUUAUUAAAAGUACUUAUUCUAUGUACAGCAUUGUUUCAAAUGCUUUGUGUAUAUUAAACUCAUUUAAUCCUCAAGAUAGUCCUAUGAAGGGAGGUAACAUCAACCCCAUUUUACAGUUGAAGAAAUGAAGGCACAAAGGUGAAGUAAUCUGCAUAAGGCCACAUGACCAAUAAACGGUAGAGCUGGAAUUUGAAUCCAGGCAGUCUGGAUUCUUUCCUUCUUCUCUUCGCCACCAUACUGUGCCACCAGUGGGAAGACUGUCAAGAGGGGCAUGGAGCUGAAUGGUCAAGCAAAGAAUGACAGUAGCAACCAGUAUGGCUUCAUGCCAACAGCAAACCAUCAGCGUGCCUUCCAGAACAUCGUCCUGAUACUACAUGAGACCAUGGGCCACAUUUGUACUGUAAUUUUCAUUCCAGGACGCUUAAUCAACCCUAUGCUACAUUUGUCUCGGGGAAUGAGAGGCGGGCUCCCAGAGGAAAACCAGCUGACCUUCCUAGUCACACUAAUUCCACGUGUGCCUCGGUGAGCCUCCCCUCCCGGCUCCCACCGGCUCACAGUGAGCACGGGGAAGAUGGGUGCAGCAGACGGGAAAUCCAAGGACACUGCUCCCUUUAUACCUACAGCCUACAAGGCCCAAACACAUGGCCUAGGAAAUUCCUCUUUUUUC